CCUACGGGUGGCAGCAGUCGAGAAUCAUUCACAAUGGGGGAAACCCUGAUGGGGCGACGCCGCGUGGGGGAAUGAAGGUCUGCGGAUUGUAAACCCCUGUCAUGUGGGAGCAAAUUAAAAAGAUAGUACCACAAGAGGAAGAGACGGCUAACUCUGUGCCAGCAGCCGCGGUAAUACAGAGGGCUCAAGCGUUGUUCGGAAUCACUGGGCGUAAAGCGUGCGGAGGCUGUUUCGUAAGUCGUGUGUGAAAGGCGCGGGCUCAACCCGCGGACGGCACCUGAUACUGCGAGACUAGAGUACUGGAGGGUGAACCGGUAUUCUCUGUGUAGCCGUUACAUGCGUAGAUUUCGAGAG
RNAcentral lists this ribosomal RNA (354 nucleotides) under uncultured bacterium. Its description in RNAcentral is "partial 16S ribosomal RNA". It matches the Rfam family "Bacterial small subunit ribosomal RNA", at positions 338 to 703 of the family's 1533-position model. The record is from RNAcentral.